This 430-nucleotide ribosomal RNA is filed under the name uncultured archaeon. RNAcentral describes it as "bacterial SSU rRNA". It matches the Rfam family "Archaeal small subunit ribosomal RNA", at positions 474 to 903 of the family's 1478-position model. The record is from RNAcentral.
UACCAGCUCUCCGAGUGGUAGGGAUGAUUAUUGGGCUUAAAGCGUCCGUAGCCGGCUUAGCAAGUUUCCUGUUAAAUUCAGCGACCUAAUCGUUGAGCCACGGGAAAUACUACUAGGCUAGGAGGCGGGAGAGGUCGACGGUACUUCUGGGGUAGGGGUGAAAUCCUAUAAUCCCGGGAGGACCACCAGUGGCGAAGGCUGUCGACUAGAACGCGCUCGACGGUGAGGGACGAAAGCUGGGGGGAGCGAACCGGAUUAGAUACCCGGGUAGUCCCAGCUGUAAACGAUGCGGGCUAGGUGUUGGGGUGGCUACGUGCCACUUCAGUGCCGCAGGGAAGCCAUUAAGCCCGCCGCCUGGGGAGUACGGCCGCAAGGCUGAAACUUAAAGGAAUUGGCGGGGGAGCACCACAAGGCGUGAAGCUUGCGGUUC